CUUCAGAGCAGGGUGCAGAACUCGGCAGUGGCAGUCUCCACAGAUAACAGAUGUCUACUUAAUAGGUCUGUUUCUCAUUCCUUGGUAAAUGUCAAGCUUUCUUUCAAGACCCCAGUGCGUCAUUGUUUCAAUCCUGUUUCUUGCAAUCCACUGAAAUCUUCCAAGAGCUCAGCCCUUGGAAGCCCAGCCCCUCCACGGACUGCAGUCUGCAGUCUGCACAUGCCAUCUACAGGCAUAAGAGGAUGCUGGUUUUAUCCAAGGCAGCCAACAGGAUUGCUUAAUGGAUUGCCAUCCCCAAAGCCCCAGGAGGCAGAGUGGAAGGAAGUCAAGGGUUCUGGUCUCAUGGAGUUAAAGAAUGAUUCUCAGGGGGAAAAAAGAAUGAAGUGAAGUGAAAGUUUACCAAGUGAAGAUAAGAACUCAAAGGAAAGGAGCUCUCUAGAGUGAGCGGAAUCCUGAAUGGGUUGCCCCUAAGGGUUUUUAUGGUCAGUCUUUUGUAGAAAAUGGACCAGGGAACUUGGUAUAUAUCUUGUCUAUAACAUUAAGGACCAAAAAAGUAGAUGUUAAGUUCCCUUCUCUCUGGUUAAUAUCUUGUCUACAACAUUUCUCCAAAUCUGGGAUUUCUGUGAGCCAGGUUACUUACCCUCUGCUUGACCCUAGUCACCUAGCCCUGCCUGUCCCUUAUUCUCAUCUUUGCUAAGCCGGAGAUAAUAAUUCCCCACUAGGUUACUGAGAAAAGGAAAAAGCAACACUUCUUCCUAGAGUUCCCCACUUCUCCUCUGAGGCACUUACUCUAUAAAUCUACUGGUUUCGUGAGAUGCCUAGAUUUCCAUGUAGUCUCCAGGCAUCUCAGACUGCCCUAAAGAAGCAUUUCAGAAGUGGCCCAAUGGUUUUUAUCAAUAACCAAAAAUAAGAGAUGACACCCAACCCAGCCCCCAGCUGGAAGGUAGGACCCACUAGCUAAAAUGCACAUAACAGCAAGCUACUUUGGCAGAUUUUAAGGGUUUGCUCAAGCCUAAAGGUUGACAACAGAAAACCCAGCAGGUUUUGAGGCUAUGGCCCUCUUCUAAAGGAAACUGACUGGAAUGAGCUGGGGCUCAUUGAUUAGAAUUACCAGGCUCAACCCAGAUGUAUCUGAUCGCACAGUUUUCAUUCCCACUUCACCCCCUGAGAACCUGACCUCCAUCUGGUUCAGCUGAAGCAGCAGCCCUUGAAAAGAAAGGCAGGACUGAAAGGGACAAAAAGUUCAAGUUCUGGAAAUCUCCUUGGUGUGGCCGCUUACUGGCACAAAUGCAUAAGCCACAGGCCUGAGUGCCCUCGUGCAUCACAGGAAGACCAUGCAAAGGUAAAUCGCUAAGGCAAGUAGAAAUCC
This 1369-nucleotide long non-coding RNA is filed under the name Mustela putorius furo (domestic ferret). RNAcentral's name for it is "lncRNA (ENSMPUG00000030706.1)". Lineage: Eukaryota; Metazoa; Chordata; Mammalia; Carnivora; Mustelidae. The record is from RNAcentral.